ACGGGAGGCAGCAGUGAGGAAUAUUGGUCAAUGGGCGGGAGCCUGAACCAGCCAAGUAGCGUGAGGGAUGACGGCCCUAUGGGUUGUAAACCUCUUUUGACAGGGAAUAAAGUGAGCCACGUGUGGUUCAUUGCAUGUACCUGUGGAAUAAGGAUCGGCUAACUCCGUGCCAGCAGCCGCGGUAAUACGGAGGAUCCGAGCGUUAUCCGGAUUUAUUGGGUUUAAAGGGAGCGUAGGCGGGAUGUCAAGUCAGCUGUGAAAUGUAGUCGCUCAACGUCUGCACUGCAGUUGAAACUGGUGUUCUUGAGUGCGUAAGAGGCAGGUGGAAUUCGUCGUGUAGCGGUGAAAUGCAUAGAUAUGACGAAGAACUCCGAUUGCGAAGGCAGCCUGCUGGGCCGCUACUGACGCUGAAGCUCGAAGGUGCGGGUAUCAAACAGGAUUAGAUACCCUGGUA
This 454-nucleotide ribosomal RNA is filed under the name uncultured bacterium. RNAcentral describes it as "partial 16S ribosomal RNA". It matches the Rfam family "Bacterial small subunit ribosomal RNA", at positions 341 to 792 of the family's 1533-position model. RNAcentral also lists the same sequence under 1 other name. The record is from RNAcentral.